Molecule: long non-coding RNA, 1981 nt
Filed under: Homo sapiens (human)
Lineage: Eukaryota; Metazoa; Chordata; Mammalia; Primates; Hominidae
Description: HSALNT0402372
Source: RNAcentral
CGGCCAGACUGCCCACCACCGGCUCUGAGCUCAUCGGCUCUGCGGUCAAUCACUUCCCUCUGGAGCUGGGCAAGGCACUGGGGAAACGUGGGCCUGAGCAGGACUUUGCAGCCAAGGCCACUGGACUAGCUUGAGAGUCCUGGGCAGCAUCCAGGCACGGGCUCCAGGCCUUCUGCCCCAGCUCGAGGUGCCAUAGCAGGUGCCUCUCAUGGGAUUGGGGCAAGUGGCACAGUCUUGAGGCUCCCCCAGUCAGACCCUUCCCCCUUCUCCCCAGGCCAUGGUGGGCAGGUGGCCACUUCCGUUGCUGCCUGUGUCUGAGGACAUUGGCCCAGGGUUGGCAAGAAGAGGAAGGUGUUGCAUCAACAUGCAGCACAUUCACCUGACAAGGAGCUGGCCGCAGCCUCCGCUGCCAAACGGUGACGGUGCUGGCUGGUGCCCCCAGGAGCUGUUCACCACCUCCCGGGCUAAUGGCGCUUGCUGCCUGGCACACAGCAGGUGACUACACUGCAUGGCUUAUAAAUGUGGCCUCUGCCAGGAAAUCCUGGGAAAGAGCCAGGGAGGUGACGUUUUAUCCACGAGCCUGCUAUGGCUUAGCCUAGCCCUCCCCUAACUGUGACCAAGCUCUGGAUGAGACACAGACAACUACUGAGGACCUGCAAAGUAAGGAGACUGCAGGGCGGAGGCGGAACUUGGAGGAGUGACCUGCCGUGGAGUUUCUGGUUUCCUCCUUGUGGCUUUGUCUGGAGGGCAAGCCCCACUCUCAGAUCCACAUGGCAACACAAGCAGCUAAAACGCAGAUAGAAACCCCAACCUGGGAAAAGGAGUCCUACAGACACAAAACUAGGAAGGUGUGAUCAUCCUCAAGAGAACAGACAAUGCUCAGAUGCCAGCCCCAACUGACACAGAUGCCUACAGCAGCCGCGGUAACUGCUUUGCGAGUUGCACGCAUACACAGCACACGCACACACACCUCAGAAAGGAGCAUUAGAUGAAAUGAAUAAUAAACCUCACAGAGAGGUAGGAAAAAAAAUAAACAAAUGAGUAUUUUUGAACUAAAAGAAUAGAGUAUCUGCAAUUAAAAUUGUACUGAUGGACUCAAUAGCAGAAUGGAGACAAAGGAAAGCCAGCGAACGUGAAGACAGAUAAAUAGAAAAUAUCCACUCCGAAGAACGAAGAUAAAGAGGAAAAACAAGAACAAGCAUCACGGGCCAGCUGGGGUCGUAUCGAAAGGCCCAGCACAUACCUGGUUCCAGAAAGCAAGGAGGAGGUUGGGGCAGAAAGUUAUUUGAAGGAAUAUUGGCUGAAACAUCCCAAGUCUGGUGAAAUACAUAAAUGUAAGCAUUCAAGAAGCUCAGUGAACCCCAAAGAAGAUAAACAGAAAGGAAAAUAGACCCAGACAUAGCAUCAUCAAAUUGCUGAAAACUGAAGAAAACAUCUGGAAAGCAGCUAGAGAAAAACAACACAUUUCGUACACAAAAGCAGUGACUCCAGUGACUACAGAAUUCUUGCCAGAAACCACGGCAGCCAGGAGACAGCAGAACGAUGUCUUUAAUGCAUGAAAGGAAAGGUUUCUCCUUGCAAGGUGUUUGUUCAUUUCUUCCAAGUUGUGGAAUAUAUGGGCAGAAGAUUGGACACCAUCCCCCUCGACUCUUUUUUCCCAUCUGUAGGGUCUGCGGUGAUGUCCUUUUUAGCCUCCAUGUUUGUAAUGAGGGUCUCUUUGUUUUGGGGUCAGUCUGGCCAGCAGCUUAUCAAUUGUAUUGAUCUUUUCAAAGAAUCAGCUUGGGUUUCAUUUAUUUUCUCUAUUUUCUGUUUUUGUUUUUUGUUCAGCUGAUUUCCACCCUGAUCUUUAUUACCUUCUACUUUCCGCAUGCGUUUUGUAAUUUAUUUUUCCCUUACUAGUUUCUCCAGGUGAAAGCUCCUAUCAUAGUUGGCAAGGGUUUUCUGUAAAGGGCUAGAGAGUAAAUAUGUUUGGUUUUGUGAG